AUGAUUUUGAUACGUGCAUUGGAAAAAAUGAAGAAGCUAUUCAAAUUGAUCCUCACUUUGCUGAGUGUUAUGGAAACAUGGCAAAUGCUUGGAAGGAGAAGGGCAACAUUGAUGUUGCAAUCCGCUACUAUUUAAUUGCUAUCGAGCUCCGACCAAAUUUUGCUGAUGCAUGGUCAAAUUUAGCAAGUGCAUAUAUGUGUAAAGGGCAGUUUAACGAGGCAGCUCAUUGUUGUCGCCAGGCUCUUGCAC
Molecule: long non-coding RNA, 249 nt
Organism: Humulus lupulus (European hop)
Lineage: Eukaryota; Viridiplantae; Streptophyta; Magnoliopsida; Rosales; Cannabaceae
Exons: 3
Source: RefSeq, a predicted model, not a curated record